AUUGAACGCUGGCGGCAGGCCUAACACAUGCAAGUCGAACGGUAACAGGAAGAAGCUUGCUUCUUUGCUGACGAGUGGCGGACGGGUGAGUAAUGUCUGGGAAACUGCCUGAUGGAGGGGGAUAACUACUGGAAACGGUAGCUAAUACCGCAUAAUGUCGCAAGACCAAAGAGGGGGACCUUCGGGCCUCUUGCCAUCGGAUGUGCCCAGAUGGGAUUAGCUAGUAGGUGGGGUAACGGCUCACCUAGGCGACGAUCCCUAGCUGGUCUGAGAGGAUGACCAGCCACACUGGAACUGAGACACGGUCCAGACUCCUACGGGAGGCAGCAGUGGGGAAUAUUGCACAAUGGGCGCAAGCCUGAUGCAGCUAUGCCGCGUGUACGAAGAAGGCCUUCGGGUUGUAAAGUACUUUCAGCGGGGAGGAAGGGAGUAAAGUUAAUACCUUUGCUCAUUGACGUUACCCGCAGAAGAAGCACCGGCUAACUCCGUG
RNAcentral lists this ribosomal RNA (490 nucleotides) under uncultured bacterium. RNAcentral's name for it is "partial 16S ribosomal RNA". It matches the Rfam family "Bacterial small subunit ribosomal RNA", at positions 30 to 507 of the family's 1533-position model. The record is from RNAcentral.